RNAcentral lists this ribosomal RNA (741 nucleotides) under Priestia megaterium. RNAcentral describes it as "bacterial LSU rRNA". It matches the Rfam family "Bacterial large subunit ribosomal RNA", at positions 1578 to 2316 of the family's 2925-position model. Lineage: Bacteria; Bacillati; Bacillota; Bacilli; Caryophanales; Bacillaceae. The record is from RNAcentral.
UAUAGUACCGAAGUUCCUGAUUCCACACUGCCAAGAAAAGCCUCUAGCGAGGCGGGAGGUGCCCGUACCGCAAACCGACACAGGGAGGCGAGGAGAGAAUCCUAAGGUGAUCGAGAGAACUCUCGUUAAGGAACUCGGCAAAAUGACCCCGUAACUUCGGGAGAAGGGGUGCUCUGGUAGGGUGUAUAGCCCGAGAGAGCCGCAGUGAAUAGGCCCAGGCGACUGUUUAGCAAAAACACAGGUCUCUGCGAAGCCGCAAGGCGAAGUAUAGGGGCUGACGCCUGCCCGGUGCUGGAAGGUUAAGAGGAGGGGUUAUCCUUUGGGAGAAGCUCUGAAUCGAAGCCCCAGUAAACGGCGGCCGUAACUAUAACGGUCCUAAGGUAGCGAAAUUCCUUGUCGGGUAAGUUCCGACCCGCACGAAAGGCGUAACGAUCUGGGCACUGUCUCAACGAGAGACUCGGUGAAAUUAUAGUACCUGUGAAGAUGCAGGUUACCCGCGACAGGACGGAAAGACCCCGUGGAGCUUUACUGUAGCCUGAUAUUGAAUUUUGGUACAGCUUGUACAGGAUAGGUAGGAGCCUGAGAAGCCGGAGCGCUAGCUUCGGUGGAGGCGUCGGUGGGAUACUACCCUGGCUGUAUUGAAAUUCUAACCCGCGGCCCUGAUCGGGCCGGGAGACAGUGUCAGGUGGGCAGUUUGACUGGGGCGGUCGCCUCCUAAAAUGUAACGGAGGCGCCCAAAGC